This 117-nucleotide non-coding RNA is filed under the name Chromera velia. Lineage: Eukaryota; Chromeraceae. The record is from RNAcentral.
UAUCCGAUCGACAAAAAGAAAGAAAGAACGAAACAAAAACAAGGGGGCCACCGGCGUCAAACAAAUCUUGGAGAGAGAAGCGACUUUUUAAGUCAAGAAUUUCUCUCUCUCUUUUUU